Long non-coding RNA from Anguilla anguilla (European eel), 1828 nucleotides. RefSeq lists it as uncharacterized. Lineage: Eukaryota; Metazoa; Chordata; Actinopteri; Anguilliformes; Anguillidae. The record is from RefSeq and is a predicted model, not a curated record. The transcript has 3 exons.
UACACACACACACUCACACUCACACACACACACACACAUACAUAUACAAACAUACACACACACGCAUACACACUAUUUUGCCUCUUCAGUAAAGCGGUUACUGUGCAGCAUUACACUGCAGAAUCUCUCGCCACUUUAUUUUGCUGGGUCACAUGACUGGUGUGGUGAAGAAGCUUGCGCUCAUGGCUGAGCUCCUGCUGUCUGUGUGUCCUGUACUGAGAGACUGUAGGAUGAGACUGUAGGAGUGAGACUGUAGGGAUGAGACUGUAGGAGUGAGACUGAAUGAGACUGUGGGGAUGAGACUGUAGAGAUGGGACUGAAUGAGACAAUAGGAAUGAGACUGAAUGAGACUAGGGAUGAGACUGUAGGUAUGAGACUGGAUGAGACUGUAAGGAUGAGAUUGUAGGGAGGAGACUGAAUGAGACUGUAGAGAUGAGACUGUAGGGAGGAGACUGAAUGAGACUGUAGGGAUGAGACUAGAGAUGAGACUGAAUGAGACUGUAGGGAUGAGACUGGGUGAGACUGUGGGGAUGAGACUGAAUGAGACUGUAGGGGUGAGACUGAAUGAGACUGUAGGAAUGAGACUGUAGGGGUGAGACUGUAGGGGUGAGACUGUAGGAGUGAGACUGUAGGAGUGAGACUGAAUGAGACUAGGAGUGAGACUGAAUGAGACUGUUGGAAUGAGACUGAAUGAGACUGUAGGGGUGAGACUGUAGGAGUGAGACUGAAUGAGACUGUAGGAGUGAGACUGAAUGAGACUGUAGGGGUGAGACUGUAGGAGUGAGACUGAAUGAGACUGUAGGAGUGAGACUGAAUGAGACUGUAGGAGUGAGACUGAAUGAGACUGUAGGAGUGAGCCUGAAUGAGACUGUAGGAAUGAGACUGAAUGAGACUGUAGGGGUGAGACUGAAUGAGACUGUAGGAAUGAGACUGAAUGAGACUGUAGGGGUGAGACUGAAUGAGACUGUGGGGAUGAGACUGAAUGAGACUGUGGGGAUGAGACUGUGGGGAUGAGACUGAAUGAGACUGUAGGGGUGAGACUGAAUGAGACUGUAGGAAUGAGACUGUAGGGGUGAGACUGUAGGAGUGAGACUAGGAGUGAGACUGAAUGAGACUGUUGGAAUGAGACUGAAUGAGACUGUAGGGGUGAGACUGUAGGAGUGAGACUGAAUGAGACUGUAGGAGUGAGACUGAAUGAGACUGUAGGGGUGAGACUGUAUGAGUGAGACUGAAUGAGACUGUAGGAGUGAGACUGAAUGAGACUGUAGGAGUGAGACUGAAUGAGACUGUAGGAGUGAGACUGAAUGAGACUGUAGGAAUGAGACUGAAUGAGACUGUAGGGGUGAGACUGAAUGAGACUGUAGGAAUGAGACUGAAUGAGACUGUAGGGGUGAGACUGAAUGAGACUGUAGGAAUGAGACUGAAUGAGACUGUAGGGGUGAGACUGUAGGAGUGAGACUGAAUGAGACUGUAGGAAUGAGACUGAAUGAGACUGUAGGGGUGAGACUGUAGGAGUGAGACUGAAUGAGACUGUAGGGGUGAGACUGUAGGAGUGAGACUGAAUGAGACUGUAGGAGUGAGGCUGCUCGGGGUUGCACAAACUGAAGCUCCUGUCCAACAUCCUGUCCAGUAUCACUUUGGGGCUUUUCCAGCUUAUUUUAUGAUUUGUGUUUUGUUGACUUGUUUGCUUUUCCUUUUGUUUGGUAACUCAGUGGCUUUCAGUUGAUCAGUGAGAGUAAGUUGAAGCUGGAGCUGUUCCUGUGUCUGUCUGUCUGGUGUGUGUCUGUCUGUCAGGUGUGUGUCUGUGUCUGUCUGUGUCAGGUGUGUG